GCCAGGCGUGGUGGCUCAUGCCUGUAAUCCCAGCACUUUGGGAGGCCGAGGUGGGUGGAUCACCUGAGGUCAGGAGUUUGAGACCAGCCUGGCCAACAUGGUGAAACCCCAUCUCUA
This is a non-coding RNA of Homo sapiens (human), 117 nucleotides long. It matches the Rfam family "Metazoan signal recognition particle RNA". Rfam says of the family: The signal recognition particle (SRP) is a universally conserved ribonucleoprotein. It is involved in the co-translational targeting of proteins to membranes. The record is from Rfam. Lineage: Eukaryota; Metazoa; Chordata; Mammalia; Primates; Hominidae.